AGUAGCUCAAUGGUAGAGCAGCCUGCAAAGGAAGAUGGGGGUUCGAAUCCUCCCUUUG
RNAcentral lists this transfer RNA (58 nucleotides) under Caudoviricetes sp. RNAcentral's name for it is "tRNA-OTHER". It matches the Rfam family "tRNA", at positions 6 to 68 of the family's 71-position model. From Rfam's summary of the family: Transfer RNA (tRNA) molecules are approximately 80 nucleotides in length. The record is from RNAcentral. Lineage: Duplodnaviria; Heunggongvirae; Uroviricota; Caudoviricetes.